RNAcentral lists this transfer RNA (71 nucleotides) under Epidalea calamita (natterjack toad). Its description in RNAcentral is "tRNA-Trp". It matches the Rfam family "tRNA". Rfam says of the family: Transfer RNA (tRNA) molecules are approximately 80 nucleotides in length. Their secondary structure includes four short double-helical elements and three loops (D, anti-codon, and T loops). The record is from RNAcentral. Lineage: Eukaryota; Metazoa; Chordata; Amphibia; Anura; Bufonidae.
AGAAACUUAGGAUAACCCCAGACCAAGAGCCUUCAAAGCCCUAAGUAGAAGUUAAAAUCUUCUAGUUUCUG